RNAcentral lists this ribosomal RNA (972 nucleotides) under Bacillus zhangzhouensis. Its description in RNAcentral is "bacterial SSU rRNA". Lineage: Bacteria; Bacillati; Bacillota; Bacilli; Caryophanales; Bacillaceae. The record is from RNAcentral.
UGCAAGUCGAGCGGACAGAAGGGAGCUUGCUCCCGGAUGUUAGCGGCGGACGGGUGAGUAACACGUGGGUAACCUGCCUGUAAGACUGGGAUAACUCCGGGAAACCGGAGCUAAUACCGGAUAGUUCCUUGAACCGCAUGGUUCAAGGAUGAAAGACGGUUUCGGCUGUCACUUACAGAUGGACCCGCGGCGCAUUAGCUAGUUGGUGRGGUAAUGGCUCACCAAGGCGACGAUGCGUAGCCGACCUGAGAGGGUGAUCGGCCACACUGGGACUGAGACACGGCCCAGACUCCUACGGGAGGCAGCAGUAGGGAAUCUUCCGCAAUGGACGAAAGUCUGACGGAGCAACGCCGCGUGAGUGAUGAAGGUUUUCGGAUCGUAAAGCUCUGUUGUUAGGGAAGAACAAGUGCGAGAGUAACUGCUCGCACCUUGACGGUACCUAACCAGAAAGCCACGGCUAACUACGUGCCAGCAGCCGCGGUAAUACGUAGGUGGCAAGCGUUGUCCGGAAUUAUUGGGCGUAAAGGGCUCGCAGGCGGUUUCUUAAGUCUGAUGUGAAAGCCCCCGGCUCAACCGGGGAGGGUCAUUGGAAACUGGGAAACUUGAGUGCAGAAGAGGAGAGUGGAAUUCCACGUGUAGCGGUGAAAUGCGUAGAGAUGUGGAGGAACACCAGUGGCGAAGGCGACUCUCUGGUCUGUAACUGACGCUGAGGAGCGAAAGCGUGGGGAGCGAACAGGAUUAGAUACCCUGGUAGUCCACGCCGUAAACGAUGAGUGCUAAGUGUUAGGGGGUUUCCGCCCCUUAGUGCUGCAGCUAACGCAUUAAGCACUCCGCCUGGGGAGURCGGUCGCRAGACUGAAACUCAAAGGAAUUGACGGGGGCCCGCACAAGCGGUGGAGCAUGUGGUUUAAUUCGAAGSAACGCGAAGAACCUUACCAGGUCUUGACAUCCUCUGACAACCCUAGAGAUAGG